Molecule: ribosomal RNA, 465 nt
Filed under: Vreelandella stevensii
Lineage: Bacteria; Pseudomonadati; Pseudomonadota; Gammaproteobacteria; Oceanospirillales; Halomonadaceae
Description: partial 16S ribosomal RNA
Rfam family: Bacterial small subunit ribosomal RNA
Source: RNAcentral
CCUACGGGCGGCAGCAGUGGGGAAUAUUGGACAAUGGGCGAAAGCCUGAUCCAGCCAUGCCGCGUGUGUGAAGAAGGCCUUCGGGUUGUAAAGCACUUUCAGUGGGGAAGAAAGCCUUGGGGCUAAUACCCUCGAGGAAGGACAUCACCCACAGAAGAAGCACCGGCUAACUCCGUGCCAGCAGCCGCGGUAAUACGGAGGGUGCGAGCGUUAAUCGGAAUUACUGGGCGUAAAGCGCGCGUAGGCGGUCUGAUAAGCCGGUUGUGAAAGCCCCGGGCUCAACCUGGGAACGGCAUCCGGAACUGUCAGGCUAGAGUGCAGGAGAGGAAGGUAGAAUUCCCGGUGUAGCGGUGAAAUGCGUAGAGAUCGUGAGGAAUACCAGUGGCGAAGGCGGCCUUCUGGACUGACACUGACGCUGAGGUGCGAAAGCGUGGGUAGCAAACAGGAUUAGAUACCCGAGUAGUC